This is a long non-coding RNA of Heterocephalus glaber (naked mole-rat), 1672 nucleotides long. The record is from Ensembl. Lineage: Eukaryota; Metazoa; Chordata; Mammalia; Rodentia; Bathyergidae.
CGCGCGGGGCGGGGCGUCUGGGGGCACCGGAGGCCAUCUUGGGGGCGCUGGGGCUAGUGGCCUGCGGCUGUCCCCCGACCGGGGCUCGCGAGAGCCGCCUGCUUGAGCAUCUCCUCCGCUGCCCUUCACCUGCCCACCAGCGUACUCGCCGUCGUCGGCGCCUCCGUCACCUCUUCUCGCGUCUAUUUUCUGUUUUUCCCAGUCUGGGAUUCUCUCCCCAUCUCCUGUGUUCCACAAUUAUUUUCCAUCUUGACACCUUUUUUUUUUUUUUCUAAUAAUCGUCAUCUUCUAACUCAUGUAGUUUUAAAAAGUCAUUUUCAUCAUUUCGUCUCCCGACCCACGUUGAGCUCCGCCUCGGCGAGGUCUCCUGCCUGUUUGCUGCAGAACGCCCCGGACAGCGGCCGACGGUGAUUAGGUGCUGAUACCUAUUAGCUGAAUGAGUGACUGAGAACCGGACGUGAGUGUACACGCAUCGGAAUGACCAUUCUAAACGGUUGGGGUUUCAACCCCAGGUUGCAAAUCCACGUUUUUUGAGAGUCAGCCUUUCCACGAAUAGGCAUGUGGGUCCCAGUUCCUAGAAAAGAGUAGUCUAGGCUGCUCUGCAAAUUACAGGCUGCGCUGAAACACUGAGGCUGCCUUCCUGGUGUUAACCGUUCAGAUACAUAAAAAAGACUUGGUUUAUGUUGCUGGGCUCUGGAUAGUUCCCUCGUUUAUUUGUUCAACAAAUGUUUAUUGUGAACAUACGCAGGAUUAAAGAGGCAUCAGAACAAUGCAGCCAGCGCCUUCCCGGAGCGCUUUUCUCCCUCUCCCGGCCUUCGGAAGCUAGGUGUGGGCCCCGGAGGGGAAAGUCCACCUGCCGGGGCCCAGCCGAUUUGCGAAGUCUGCAUUCCAGAGCAGGCUUCUAUUGGGGACGGAGCCCAGAAACCGGCCGUGCCCUGGGGAAGAACAGCAGGAAAAGGGAGAAGGGCCCGUGGAACCCUACCAAAUACAUACAGAGACACAAACCCACAUGACACAAGGGGUGGACUGUAGCAGCACCUUCUGUUCAGCUGCCCAGCACCAUCACCUUACUUCCUCUAACAAGGCGUUUUGGAAUUCACUAUUAUGCUCAGUGAAGACCACACUCUUCCCAGGCUGAGCCCAGACAAAGACUAAGCAUGGUUCUUUCCCGAAAGCCACUGCCAGAUGGAUCUUCCUGCAACACCACUUCCAUCCUGCCACUUUCCUCUGAAAAGUCUCCCCACUUCCCUCAGCCUCACAUAGGAAAUCAGUUUGUGAAGCCUUACACAAUCAGGUCUCAACCUACAGCCGCCUGUGCCUGCCCACGCCACCUCACCGACCUUCACUCCCCACCUCGUCUGCACCCGGGCUGUUCUGGUCUCUGCCUGUUCAUCUCAGACAGAACUGGACCACAACCAUGUAUCUGUGGUGGUUUUCGUUCAUUUGUUUUUCAGUACUGGGGAUUAAACACAGGGUCUCCACAUUGAGCAACAUCCCCAGCCCUCAGCCCUUGCCCUCAUUUUUGAGACGGGGUUUUGUUAAGUAGAACUAAGUUUUCCAAGCUGGGCUUGAACUUGAGAUCUUCCUGCUUCAGCCUCCCAUAGUUGUAGGGUUACAGGUGUGUGCCACUAAGCUCAACUUUUCUCUCUCUCUCUCUCCCCCUCCCUCCCUC